AGUGAACGCUGGCGGUAGGCCUAACACAUGCAAGUCGAACGGCAGCACAGUAAGAGCUUGCUCUUACGGGUGGCGAGUGGCGGACGGGUGAGGAAUACAUCGGAAUCUACUUUUUCGUGGGGGAUAACGUAGGGAAACUUACGCUAAUACCGCAUACGACCUACGGGUGAAAGCAGGGGAUCUUCGGACCUUGCGUGAUUGAAUGAGCCGAUGUCGGAUUAGCUAGUUGGCGUGGUAAAGGCCCACCAAGGCGACGAUCCGUAGCUGGUCUGAGAGGAUGAUCGGCCACACUGGAACUGAGACACGGUCCAGACUCCUACGGGAGGCAGCAGUAGGGAAUAUUGGGCAAUGGGCGCAAGCCUGAUCGAGCAAUGCCGCGUGGGUGAAGAAGGCCUUCGGGUUGUAAAGCCCUUUUGUUGGGAAAGAAAAGCUGCAGAUGAAAACCCCGCUGUUCUGACGGUACCCAAACAAAAAGCACCGGCUAACUACGUG
Molecule: ribosomal RNA, 492 nt
Filed under: uncultured bacterium
Lineage: Bacteria
Description: partial 16S ribosomal RNA
Rfam family: Bacterial small subunit ribosomal RNA
Source: RNAcentral